UACGAAGGGGGCUAGCGUUGUUCGGAUUUACUGGGCGUAAAGCGCACGUAGGCGGAUCUUUAAGUCAGAGGUGAAAUCCCGGAGCUCAACUUCGGAACUGCCUUUGAUACUGGGGAUCUCGAGUCCGGGAGAGGUGAGUGGAACUGCGAGUGUAGAGGUGAAAUUCGUAGAUAUUCGCAAGAACACCAGUGGCGAAGGCGGCUCACUGGCCCGGAACUGACGCUGAGGUGCGAAAGCGUGGGGAGCAAACAGG
RNAcentral lists this ribosomal RNA (253 nucleotides) under uncultured bacterium. RNAcentral's name for it is "partial 16S ribosomal RNA". It matches the Rfam family "Bacterial small subunit ribosomal RNA", at positions 524 to 776 of the family's 1533-position model. The record is from RNAcentral.